This 500-nucleotide long non-coding RNA is filed under the name Homo sapiens (human). Its description in RNAcentral is "long independently transcribed non-coding RNA 613 (LINC00613)". Lineage: Eukaryota; Metazoa; Chordata; Mammalia; Primates; Hominidae. The record is from RNAcentral.
CAGAGCUCGCACUUACGCAUUUAUAAUCCAAAGAAGGCCAAGGGUAACUGGUAACUCUCAGAAGCAGAAAAAGAAGCUUGGGACGGACUCCCCUUCAGAGCUCUGUAGGGACCAAUUUUGCUGAUGCUGUCUCUUCCAGAUCCUUCAAGAUUGGAAAAAGAAGGUGAUGAGCAUUUUUAAACUCAGUUCACUGAGCACUGAGCAAUUGCUUAAGGGAAGGUCAAAGAACAGAAAAAAAUAUUUGAAGAAAAGAAGAAAAGAUCUAACCUUCAUUAUACAGGUGCAAACAGGAUUGCACAGAUUGCCUUUUGUGAUAAAAAGAGGAAGAAAAAUGGCAGCAACCCAGAUUAUUAUUAUACUUAAAUGGUCUCUCACACUUUAUGAAGAUCUUUGUGUAAAAGUAUUAAGCAGUCCAUUUAACAGAGAAGUAUGUUUGUUUCACAUGUAUCAGAAAAUGUGAGUCUUAAUUAAAAUAGAUCCUGACGUCAAAAAAAAAAAAA